UUCAUCGGUUUAUCUUUAUCAAAGAUAACUUUUCAGUUAUCUGAUUAUCUGUUAUUGAAGUUAAUUUUUUGGUUAUCUGUGCCCACCACUGGGUAGGCUCCAAUCCAACACCGUCAACAUCCCAUGAAGCAGCAUGACUUAAGGUAGAACACAGCAGGUAGGCUCCAACCCAACGCCGUCAACAUCCACUGAAACAGCAUGACUUAAGGUAGGACAAAGGAGAUAGGCUCCAACCCAACACCAUCAACAUCCCAUGAAGCAGCAUGACUUAAGGUAGGACACGGGAGGUAGGCUCCAACCCAACACCAUCAACCUCCCCUGAAACAGCAUGACUUAAGGAAGGACACGGGGGUAGGCUCCAACCCAACACCGUCAACAUCCCAUGAAGCAGCAUGACUUAAGGUAGGACACAGGAGGUAGGCUCCAACCCAACACCGUCAACCUCCCCUGAAACACCAUGACUUAAGGAAGGACACGGGGGUAGGCUCCAACCCAACACCGUCAACCUCCCCUGAAACAGCAUGACUUAAGGAAGGACAUGGGGGGUAGGCUCUGACCCAACACCAUCAACAUCCCCUGAAGCAGCAUGACUUAAGGAAGGACACAGGAGGUAGGCUCCAACCCAACACCAUCAACAUCCCCUGAAACAGCAUGACUUAAGGAAGGAUGCGGGGGAUAGGCUCCAACCCAACACUGUCACCCUCACCUGAAGCAGCAUGAGUUAAGGUAGGACACAGGAGGUAGGCUCCAACCCAACACAGUCAACCUCCCUUGAAACAGCAUGACUUAAGGAAGGACAUGGGGAGUAGGCUCCAACCCAACACCAUCAACAUCCCCUGAAUCAGCAUAACUUAAGGUCGGACACGGGGGGUAGGAUCCGACCCAACACUGUCAACCUCCCCUGAAACAGCAUGACUUAAGGUAGGACACAGGAGGUAGGCUCCAACCCAACACAGUCAACCUCCCCUGAAACAGCAUGACUUAAGGAAGGACACAGGAGGUAGGCUCCAACCCAACACCGUCAACAUCCCCUGAAACAGCAUGACUUAAGGAAGGACGCAGGGGAUAGGCUCCAA
Long non-coding RNA from Thalassophryne amazonica, 1076 nucleotides. RefSeq lists it as uncharacterized. Lineage: Eukaryota; Metazoa; Chordata; Actinopteri; Batrachoidiformes; Batrachoididae. The record is from RefSeq and is a predicted model, not a curated record. The transcript has 2 exons.